CACUAUAAUACUAUCAAUUUCAAGCAUUUAAUGCUCCCAAGUUUUUUGCCACUAAAUCUACCCUUUUAACUAUUUCUACCUCUUAGAUCAUGUUAUUCCACCAAUCACUCACUAAACUAUAAAAAACCACUAUUAUUCUAAUUGCAUAUUGCUUCAUUCAAGAACUAAAAAUUUAAUAGCGCAAAUAACUUAGUGCUUCUAACUGCAUAUUCCUUCAUCCAAGGACUAAAAAUUUAAUAGCAGAAAUGACUUAGUGCUAUUAAAGGUAUUUUAGCAUAUANGUGUGUGUGUGUGUUCCACUAUAAUACUAUCAAUUUCAAGCAUUUAAUGCUCCCAAGUUUUUUGCCACUAAAUCUACCCUUUUAACUAUUUCUACCUCUUAGAUCAUGUUAUUCCACCAAUCACUCACUAAACUAUAAAAAACCACUAUUAUUCUAAUUGCAUAUUGCUUCAUUCAAGAACUAAAAAUUUAAUAGCGCAAAUAACUUAGUGCUUCUAACUGCAUAUUCCUUCAUCCAAGGACUAAAAAUUUAAUAGCAGAAAUGACUUAGUGCUAUUAAAGGUAUUUUAGCAUAUAUGGAAAUUAUAGUAUCUAUAGUGUUUACUAUUAAGCAACUGAAUUUUGAUGAAAUGUUUGAUAUAUAUAUAUAUUAUGUACAGACACACCUCAAAUGAUCUAUAAUUUCAACAUAGAGAUAAUACAAGAAAAAUAUCAAAGUGCUCGUGUAUAUUAUACGAAGGUAUUAACUUAUUCAAAAAUAUACUUUUAAAGUAAGAAACAUGAUGAUAAGAUUCGAACUUAAGAUCUUACAUUCUGAUACCGUGUAAAAUAACUAAUUAUUAUCGAUAAAAACCUAAUAGUAUUUUAAUGAAAUAAUUGCCUAUAUAUCUUUCAAAACUUUAAAAAUUUCUCAUUUAUCCUUACUUUUUUUUCUUUCCAACAUACCCCUCAUAUGUUCCUCCGCUCUUAUAUGUUCCUCCGUUAUUUCAAAAUAACCCUACAGUUAUCAUCCGUUAAAUUAACCUGUGUUAAAUAUAAGUUAAAUAUCUAUUAGAGUUAAAAAAAAAAAAAUCAAAAUGCCUCUUUUGUCCUUAACUUAAAGGCAAUAAAAAAUGUUGGUGAUGGCAGAAAGGUAUAUUUGAAAAGAUUAAAAAGCAAAAUACUUUUUGUACCCCUAACUUAAGGACAAAUAAAAAAGUCAAUAAAGUUAGAAGAAUAUAUUUGAAAUGACAAAAUAGUAAUUUCAUACAAAUAAUAGCUAUUGCUAACAGUUUAUUAACGAAAUUUAAUUCUAAAAUUAUAUUUAAAAUAGUUUGAACAUAAAAAAAAGUAUUUCAAUAUUAACCUUCUUAAAAAAAUGAAUUAGAAAGUCGAAAAUUUUUCAAGAAUAUAUAAACAAUUGCCCCUAUUUUAACGGGUAUCAAUUCCUAAUUUCUGUGAGCACUAAUAC
Molecule: long non-coding RNA, 1451 nt
Filed under: Ananas comosus (pineapple)
Lineage: Eukaryota; Viridiplantae; Streptophyta; Magnoliopsida; Poales; Bromeliaceae
Description: long non-coding RNA (ACOM_LNC013752)
Source: RNAcentral